AACUUCUAUCAAGUCGAUGGUCCCGUGCGAGCGGGCUAACAGGGAACGCCGUCAUGCUCCGGCCGGGUCAUAAGCCCGGGAGCCAAGUCGGAGGCUGCUCCCGCAACUGUAGGCGGUAUGCCGCCGGUUCAUUUACCCCCAUGGGGUAGGUCACUGUUUCCACGAUCAAGGGAAUGGGAAGGCAGGAACCGGCAGGCCAUGAUCCGUGAGCCAGGAGACCUGCCAUCGUCAUUUGCCAAGC
RNAcentral lists this non-coding RNA (241 nucleotides) under Novacetimonas hansenii. Lineage: Bacteria; Pseudomonadati; Pseudomonadota; Alphaproteobacteria; Acetobacterales; Acetobacteraceae. The record is from RNAcentral.